Acanthosepion pharaonis is the source of this 110-nucleotide non-coding RNA. Lineage: Eukaryota; Metazoa; Mollusca; Cephalopoda; Sepiida; Sepiidae. The record is from the annotation of a GenBank genome assembly.
GGCCACAUCACGUUGAAACACUGGUUCCCAUACAAUCACCGAAGUUUAGCAAUGUCGAGCCUGGUCAGUACCUAGAUCAGUAACCACUUGAGGAUACCAGGUGAUGUAAG